CAAUCCUUCUGGAUACCGCUCGCCCACUGCUGCAGGAGUCGGAGGUGUGGCCUGAAACUCCACAUUGUGCACAAGUUUGCCGGCCACGAGAGCUUUGCGAGCCGUGGCCAUAUCUCUGACAUUGGAAGCACUGUUGGGGGUUAACCAUCAAGAAGUUGGCAUCUGUCAAGUCAACUAAGUGUUCAUCGAACAAUGUGCCUAUACAGUGAUGGGGACAUCACCAAAAGGUUUCAAGCUGGAUAGUUUUUCAUAUUGUUCCCUGUCUCUGACUUAAUGAAGAGGUCUCUACUGACCAUUUUCGUUGCUUUGUAACCUGUUCCAAGUGUGUCUAUUAGGCACCUUGAAACUAGGAACAGGGAAAGUUUUCUGACAGGUUUUGCUGAUGUGUCACUAUGGAUAACGUGGUAGCAUGGAAAGUUGUCAUUGUUGAGUUGGAAAAGUUGAAAACUUGCUUCGGUGUGCACCCUCUUCAGGGAGCAAUCAAUGGAGAGUUGCAAGUUUUUGGCCAUAAAAUAUGAAUUUUGUUCAGUAGUGGUGGCAGCCACCUACCACCGAGCCCAACGAGGGAACACUGCAAGACAUGAAGAAAUGGCUUGCAUACACCAGCUGUACACCGCCAAUAUAACCUGAAGUGACGUAUCCCAAGGUGGGGUGACCACAUGAGAUUAACCCUUGCUGCUAGGAAGAACUAGAAGUAAACAAAAGAGAGAAGUAGACAGGACCAAGAAAAAGUGAGUGAUAAAGAUGAAGAUCUAGCUAAACAGAGAUGGGAAAAGGCGACUGCCGAUUUCCCCCUGAGUGGG
Long non-coding RNA from Rhipicephalus microplus (southern cattle tick), 803 nucleotides. The record is from RefSeq and is a predicted model, not a curated record. NCBI's taxonomy places the organism in Eukaryota, Metazoa, Arthropoda, Arachnida, Ixodida, Ixodidae.